Molecule: RNA transcript, 2932 nt
Organism: Priapulus caudatus
Lineage: Eukaryota; Metazoa; Priapulida; Priapulimorpha; Priapulimorphida; Priapulidae
Gene name: kelch domain-containing protein 10-like
Exons: 7
Source: RefSeq, a predicted model, not a curated record
UUAACAUUGUGAAAAAGUCAGGGAAAAGGGUCAGACUGGAGUUGACAUGCCUUGGCAAGUUGCUUCACAUUGUGAUAUCGUCAUGAGAUUGUGGCUGACGAGACGAAGAUAUACAUGUUCGGCGGUGGCAAGAUGUGUACAACAUGACGGGAGGCUAUGACGGAGCACAGAUUUUUGGAGACAUCUGGAGAAUUCAUCUGCCUACAAUGAGCUGGGUGAAGUAUGAUGCAGAGAUUUCUAUACUGUCAUACUUUCACUCAACAGCUGUAAUGCCUUUGCUGUUGGAAUGUCUUCAUAUGCCAUCCACAGCCAUCUCAAGUGAGCUUGUCUGACUGAUAUCAAAGGAUGAAUAGAAAGAUCAGGGUAGAAGCACUACUCGAGCAUCUACACUUAUCAGAAGGCAACGCAUACCAUUGUCCAGCUGACAUCAUGUAAAGACAGAUCUAUCUAUCGACUCACGGAUUGAAGCAUCACCUUAAACCAGCUAUGGAGUAGGAACCUCACCAUGCUAAAUGCCAUCACCAGUCAAGGAGCACCCAUAGAGUCUAAGGAGCACCCAGAGCAUCUAAAGAGCACACAGAGUACUGCUAGUAAAAAUGCCAGUUGCAUGCAACCUCAUGACUCGCCAUAACUCAUGAUUGCCUAGCUAUCCCACAGACGAAACCACUCAGCCAAGUUGAUUCCCAAUUCUAUUAUAUGAUAUAUAUAUAUAUAUUAUGAAAGGGGAGAGACUUUCAUAAGUACAUAGUGGGAAGGUAAGCUUCCUCUUCCACCCAAGCUACAAGUUUCCCUGUUAGUUUGACCAAGCACGGAAUGUAUACUUUCCUCCAUCUGAUAUCCAUCAACAAAGACCAAAGACAGCAAAGAGAUGAUCCAGUGAUGAGCUGCAAACUUCAUACCAACAUCUACUUUUGGAGACAGAGUGUCAUAGCCAUGCUAGAGUCGCUUGGAUGGCUGACACUGGUGGGAGGAGCAGUGGUCAAGUGGUUGUUGCUCAGGACUUCAGGCUGAAAGGUCUGGGGCCUGAGUGCCACCUUGAUCACUGCUCUUGUGCCCAUGAGCAAGGCACUUUAUUCCAGUUCGCUUGGAGAAGGGAGUGACUUUCAUAAGUCACUAGUGAGGAGAUAAGCUUCCUCUGCGGCCCUAGCUACAGGUUGCCCUUAGGCAAAGCAUAACACCUGUUCAGCCUCCCAUGCCAGGGUUACGGUGAAGAUGUCUAAUAUAGUGAAAGCAUACAAAUGAUUGGACAUAGCGUUGCAUAUAACUCAACUAGGGAAAGGGGAAGAAGAAGACGACGAAAAAUAGUGAAGAAGAAGAUGAACAAGAAGAAGAAGAGGAGGAGAAGAGGAAGCUAUGAUAGAGAGAAGAGGGAUAUUUGAUGCCAAGUCGAUGGCUCAUGAGGCUGGGAUUAGACCAAGGUGUCUUUUCAUCUAAUCAAACACGAUGGAUGCUAAUCGUCGAGACUAGCACUACUCUACAAGCAAGGAUCCAGGACUUCAGACUCACUUCUGUUGACAAGCUGCGUAACACUGCCACGGAUCAGCAUACGCCCACACAAGCCACCCCAUCGUGUAAAAGGACAUUUGCGAAGACAUAGACACAUCAUCAAGCUGACGGGAGGCGUGAGUGUAUGAAAUCGUUGAAGCCAGGACUGUUAAUUAUUGCGACGAUGCACUAUGUUAACGUGAAACUGCCUUAAUUGUUACCAUCUGUAUGUUGUUAAUCGAAUCCAGAGUAGUUUUUCAUCGAGUUCGUUUUUAGAAGUCAGCAGUUCAAUGUUCGAAGUAUUUGACUAGACUUUUUAAUGACAAAGAUAGGAAAUUUGUUUUUCGUGGCAGUGAUAGUGGCAGCAAGUAGACGAUUUUAAUGUACCAUUUUCAUGUAAUUGUGGAUGCAAAUAUAUCAAUGUCUGCUGAUUGAUCAAUGACGAUAAGCCAAUUUCGCAUUUAGACUGCACAUGCUCCUUAACAUAAAUUCGCUCCCAAGUCCUAGCGUUCGACAAUCAUAAAAUAAAUAUGCUUUUACAAAAUUCUAACUCCGGUCUCAUUGCAAUUAAAUGUAAUUAGCUACAAGUAAGUUUCAGGGCACUUGCUAAGAAGAUUAGCUGUGAUUUGGCUACGAUACGUAGAGUAAUUUGGCUUCAAAGGUCAUUUAGCUUCUUUGUCCAGUAUAUUUUCAGCAUAUGAUUGGGGUACCCUAAAGGUUAGGGCUUGCUGUUUAUUACGUAACUUAGCCUAUGUUUAGGUCACAAUUCCAUUAUAUUAAAUUUGUUGGAGACAUGUCUAUUCUUAAAAGUAGUAUUUUUAAAGAUUAGCUAGAACUUGUACUACAAUUUGCUACCAAAAAUGAUAUUAGUAGAAAAGUACAACAUUGGCAGAGAUGACUUUUUUCUGAUGCAAUAACCGAAACAUGCCCCAAUGCAAUGCUCUCCAAAAUGCGAAAUUGGCUUAUUAAAUUUAUUUACAUGUCAUCAAUCAAUUUACUAACUUCCAAAUCGUUUUUAUAAUUCAAAACUUCUUCGAAACUCACUAUUGAACUUAUUAACCUACAGGGAAGAAUUUCUCACUUGACUAGCAUUUAAACAAUUUGUCCAAAGCAUUUAGCAUUGCAUUAGCAUUAAGCAUUUAGCCAAUUGACUCGCUUCAGAUUCCACUAUUCUGUCAUAAGUAUGCAAUUUGCAGCAAAAAUAACGUCACAUAAAUUGUUAAGUUGUAAUUUGCAGCAAACCUCGCCACUAGAUGGCAGUUGUUGGCUAUUAGUGAAGUGAUUCACUAGUGACCAUAUGGUAGUAGAUUUGGAAGCAAGUUGAUUCGUUUCAUGGAAAUUUGUUUUGUAUUUUAUUUGGAAAUGUGUGUGAAUGUAGAGUAGUGUUUCUAGGAGCUUUUCCAGGUGAACGACUGCGAGCGUGAACGGAAGCAUGAUCGUGAGUGUA